Long non-coding RNA from Cebus imitator (Panamanian white-faced capuchin), 833 nucleotides. RefSeq lists it as uncharacterized. The record is from RefSeq and is a predicted model, not a curated record. Lineage: Eukaryota; Metazoa; Chordata; Mammalia; Primates; Cebidae. The transcript is spliced from 3 exons.
CGGUGACGUCACAGCACUGCGCCGCAAAGCUGAUCCUGGAAGCCGAUGUCAGCCGGACGCGCGGCGCACAGCGGGCUGGGGCUUGUCUGACUAUGGCUUGGAACCUGUGGUCCAGAUUUGGAGAGACCUCUCGGAGGAUUUCCAGAGGCUGAGAAGUUUGAGGUCAAGAGACUGAAUCUGUUAAGAUCAGCAUGUCCCAGAUUGUGGUGUUCCUUUGUCUUGUGUCCCAGAAUGAAGAAGAUGUGGAGUAAAGGUACAGCCAACCUGGGAAGGACAUGUAAUGGGAGCAGGAAAUAAAUCUUUGUUGUAAAUUGUUGAGACUUUGGGAUUAUUUUUUAUUGCAGCAAAAGCUAACAGAAGUUCCUAAUAUAAGACAUAUCAAAUAUAUAGGUAUAUAUAUUUUGUAUGUACCUUUAAAUAUUGUAUUAUAUAUAACCUAGAAAGUAUAUUAAUGUAUGUCUAAAUACGAUAUAGUAACAUCUUUUGAACAAUAAUGUAUAAGUACAUUUUCUGCAACUCGAAACACAAUUUUUGCUGUUUAUUAUUAUAAGAAUUUAUAGCUGUGUCUUUGCUUUUUUGAUGCAUUUUGCAGACAGUCAUGAUUCGUUUGAUGCCAAGAUUUUGGUCAAAAAGUUUCCCUAUUACAGCUCUGUUUUUCUGAGGAAAUCCCGUUGCUCUAUGCCUAUCAGCUUUGGGACAUAGUUCCAGAAAUAUAUUAAUAUAAAAAAAGACAUUUUUUUUCUUGUUUGCAAUAUUCAAGUUCUGAUUAUAUUGGUCAUCAUAACAGUUAAAAAUAACUGAUAGGACAGGCACGGUGGCUCACGCCUGUAAUC